This 497-nucleotide ribosomal RNA is filed under the name uncultured bacterium. RNAcentral's name for it is "partial 16S ribosomal RNA". It matches the Rfam family "Bacterial small subunit ribosomal RNA", at positions 28 to 507 of the family's 1533-position model. The record is from RNAcentral.
GAUGAACGCUGGCGGCGUGCCUAAUACAUGCAAGUCGAGCGGACGGACGAGAAGCUUGCUUCUCUGAUGUUAGCGGCGGACGGGUGAGUAACACGUGGAUAACCUACCUAUAAGACUGGGAUAACUUCGGGAAACCGGAGCUAAUACCGGAUAAUAUUUUGCACCGCAUGGUUCAAAAGUGAAAGACGGUCUUGCUGUCACUUAUAGAUGGAUCCGCGCUGCAUUAGCUAGUUGGUAAGGUAACGGCUUACAAAGGCAACGAUGCAUAGCCGACCUGAGAGGGGGAUCGGCGACACGGGAGGUUGGACACGGUCCAUGCUCCUGAGGGAGGCAGCAGUGGGGAAUGUGACGCAAUGGGCGAAAGCCUGACGGAGCAACGCCGCGUGAGUGAUGACGGUGUUCGGUUCGUAAAACUCUGUUAUUAGGGAAGAACAUAUGUGUAAGUAACUGUGCACAUCUUGACGGUACCUAAUCAGAAAGCCACGGCUAACUACGUG